AAAGGAUACUUGUGGUCAAAAGUAUACCAAAGUCUAAAAAGCCAGGCGCUCUCUUGCUUGGUCUUGCUUUGUCCUUCUGACUGGGUUCCAUCCUGCGGAGAGGAAGAGGAAAUGGAAACACUAAGAGAGAGCGAGAGAGAGAGAGAGACAGAAAGGCAUUUAAGAGACUAGGCGGAUCCCCUCUAAGCAUGUUCUCUUCAGGUGAAGUCAAAAGGUCACCACCACCUGUACAAGAGUUCAAAGUCCAUCAUCACCUGACGUAAUUCCACAGUCUACGCAGCCUCUCCUUCUCUGCAGCAGAUGUCUCUCCAACCCUGAGCACAACACAGAACUCUUGAGACCAGCCCUGAAAACAUCAAACAUCCUAAUAGCUUCUACUGAGAAAAGACUUCAAACUCUGAGAUUUCUCUGACUGCAAAGACAGGUCUUUGUGUAUAUUUACUGGUAUUUGUGUUUCUUGGUACAUAACUACAUAUGAAAACAUAAAAAAUAAACAAAUUAAAUGAGGGAAUUAAUUUAAAAAUGAGUGAUAUAAUGGUUAAAUGCUCCAAAAACAGACAUUUUCUUUCUGAUACAUAAAGUAUGUUUGGGGCUUCACAUUGCUGCUCUGAAUUGGCUCUCUGUGCGCUGAGCUCAAUGUUUAUAGAGUAAGUGGAACCUCCCAGGACUGUUCUAGAAAAGGCAGAACUGACCAGCACAGAGGAAAAAAAGUCAAAACCAAUGUCCAAGAGAAUCGUCUGGCUUAGGUCUUGAGCAACAGACAGCCUCCAACCACUGUCAGCCCAUUCAAAACUGUAUAUAAGCUUUUUUUUUUUUACAACAGUUUAUUAA
Cyprinus carpio (common carp) is the source of this 831-nucleotide long non-coding RNA. RefSeq lists it as uncharacterized. The record is from RefSeq and is a predicted model, not a curated record. Lineage: Eukaryota; Metazoa; Chordata; Actinopteri; Cypriniformes; Cyprinidae. The transcript is spliced from 3 exons.